This 291-nucleotide unclassified non-coding RNA is filed under the name uncultured fungus. RNAcentral describes it as "partial contains small subunit ribosomal RNA, internal transcribed spacer 1, and 5.8S ribosomal RNA". The stretch from base 1 to 73 matches the Rfam family "Eukaryotic small subunit ribosomal RNA", at positions 1759 to 1831 of the family's 1831-position model. Lineage: Eukaryota; Fungi. The record is from RNAcentral.
GCAAACUUGGUCAUUUAGAGGAAGUAAAAGUCGUAACAAGGUUUCCGUAGGUGAACCUGCGGAAGGAUCAUUACCGAGUAUCGGUGCCCUCUGGGCGCCUACUCCCACCCUAUGUGUACCGUACCUUUGUUGCUUUGGCGGGCCAGGCGCCCCGUCGCCGCCGGCCCAGGCUGGAGAGCGCCCGCCGGAGAACUUUUAAAAUUCUGCUCACGGUGGCAUCAGAGUCUAUGAAAAUGAAUCAAAACUUUCAACAACGGAUCUCUUGGUUCUGGCAUCGAUGAAGAACGCAGC